RNAcentral lists this unclassified non-coding RNA (299 nucleotides) under plant metagenome. RNAcentral's name for it is "partial contains 5.8S ribosomal RNA, internal transcribed spacer 2, and large subunit ribosomal RNA". The stretch from base 1 to 105 matches the Rfam family "5.8S ribosomal RNA", at positions 50 to 154 of the family's 154-position model. The record is from RNAcentral.
GAAAUGCGAUAAGUAAUGUGAAUUGCAGAAUUCAGUGAAUCAUCGAAUCUUUGAACGCACAUUGCGCUCGCCAGUAUUCUGGCGAGCAUGCCUGUUCGAGCGUCAUUUCAACCAUCAAGCUCUGCUUGCGUUGGGGAUCCGCGGCUACCCGCGGUCCCUCAAAAACAGUGGCGGGCUCGCUAGUCACACCGAGCGUAGUAACUCUACAUCGCUAUGGUCGUGCGGCGGGUUCUUGCCGUAAAACCCCCAAUUUCUAAGGUUGACCUCGGAUCAGGUAGGAAUACCCGCUGAACUUAAGC